Molecule: transfer RNA, 66 nt
Filed under: Capra hircus (goat)
Lineage: Eukaryota; Metazoa; Chordata; Mammalia; Artiodactyla; Bovidae
Also listed under: 1 other name
Rfam family: tRNA
About the family: Transfer RNA (tRNA) molecules are approximately 80 nucleotides in length. Their secondary structure includes four short double-helical elements and three loops (D, anti-codon, and T loops). Further hydrogen bonds mediate the characteristic L-shaped molecular structure. tRNAs have two regions of fundamental functional importance: the anti-codon, which is responsible for specific mRNA codon recognition, and the 3' end, to which the tRNAs corresponding amino acid is attached (by aminoacyl-tRNA synthetases). tRNAs cope with the degeneracy of the genetic code in two manners: having more than one tRNA (with a specific anti-codon) for a particular amino acid; and 'wobble' base-pairing, i.e. permitting non-standard base-pairing at the 3rd anti-codon position.
Source: Rfam by way of RNAcentral
UCCCAGGUGGCUCAGUGGUAAAGAAUCUGCCUUCCAAGCAGGAGACGUGGGUACCAUCCCUGGGUC